GUUGUACUUACAGAGAGAGAGAGAAAAGAAACGUUUUUCACCAUUUUCUCACGUUUCUCUCUUUCUCUCCUUCCCUCUUCUCUUUCCUGUUUUUAAUUUGCUCUCUCUUCUCUUCAAACCCUAACACCGCCGCCGUCGCUGUUGUCUCCUUUCUCCACCUUAUCUACGGCCACCACCUCCAAUGAAAAAUCUAAACCAUUUUCGUACUCCUCUUCUCAGAUCUGUUCGUUGGUCUCAUAAAUUCAAAAUCACUUUCCCUCUCACCAAAUUCCCCAGAUCCACUUUUGCCUUGAAGUAUACCCUAGAAGUUGAGACGGUUAUUGGUUCUUAGCAUUAUUGUUUUGACCGAUCAGUAUUUGUUCUGAUCAAUGUUGUUGCAAGCAUGGUUAUGCGAUUUAGAAGUUGUUAUGAGUGUGUUUGUUGCCGCUACAGCCCGGGUCAGCCUUCUCCAACAUAUUGAUCAAUCCAGAGAGUCAUUAUCAGCUCAAGUUGUUGAUGAGCAGGUCUUCAAAUACAUCAAGCAUUGGAGAGUUUGCGACAAGUAUGUAAAUCACUUUGGUCUUCAUUGCCGAUGGCUCAACAACUGGCUAUGAUUGUUACUUUACCUGUUGUUCUGCUUUUCUUCUUUCAUAUCCUCCUCAUUAAAAAGCACAUAUGAUUAAAUUGUAGUUAUGAGGGAGCUGGAGCAAGAGCAGGAACAACAGCUAGGAGUUGGAGGCCAGCAAAGUCCCCAAAUGUCAACCAUUAGCUCAUUUACUGGGUUGAGCAUUGUAAGCUCCUUCAAUGCUUUAUCACUGAUAUCAGUUACUCCUUACACACCAUUUUGCAUAUCCAAAAUUUUCAUUUUUUGUUUGCUUUCAACUUUUGCAGUUUUUAUAUAUGAACGUUGGGAAAAAGACCUUUAAAACCAUUUUAAUUUAACUAUACAACACUAAUGUCUAUUGUGAAUUCAAUAUUUCUUCCUCUCUUAUUCUCCAAUGAAAUCCCUUCAAUUUCUCUAAUUGAAAAAAAAAGCCAGUCUCUCAAAAUUUAGCGUCUAAUUACCAACAGAGAACAAUAACAUAGCCAACAAUUUAAAUACAAUACAAGACAUUUUAUUAAACUAAGGACCUUGGUAGCUUCACUAUAGACUUUAAUUUAUCUAAAUACACAAUUUCAUUAAUUACAAAUAAGAUCCAAAAAUGACACAUUAUUAUUGUUCGGCCAUUCACAUUGUCAUCAUAAUUAUCCAGUGCUGCUAAUACUGUAACAAUUGUACUCAUGAAUAACAAUGCAAAGUGUAGGCAAAAACAGUCACUGUGUCAAAUUGUAAGUCAACCAUGGAAUUUUGUCAUAACUGUGUUGGAUGGUUUGUGGCAGUAUAAAUAUCAAAACUGGUCAAAUUGUAAGUCAAUUUUUCCAGUUCAAGGAAUGAAUUUGAAGUUCUAUUCUAGACCCUUUAUCUUAAUUUUUGUGAAGUAUCAAAUUGAGAUACUAAUGUCUAUGUGAUUAUGAGAAAGUUUUGGAGUCAAUGUUGUUUGUUUCUUUGUACUAUCAGGAGCCUUAGGAAUUAUAAUUUGCAAGGACCAAUUCCUGAUUUAAGCUUGAUACCGAACCUUCUUCUUUAUACGUAAGUUAUACAUUAAGAGAAGUGAUUGUUUGUGACAAGGUAAAUUUUUUUUGUAUAUUUUUGAAAUAAAGUCUAAUGUGAACUCUAAUUGCACUUAUCAUCCACUAAUUAUUAUCAAAUUUUCAGUGACCUUAGCUCCAAUCAAUUGAAUGAAUCAAUUCCUCCUAAUAAGCUUGCUCAAAAUAUCACAAUUGUGUGAGAUUCUCUGUCAUUCAAAUAAAAUUAUAGUACUAUAAAAUUUAGUAUAUUAAAAAUAUCUCUCUGUCUUGAAUAUGAAUUUGAACAAGCUUAAUUUAAGAGGACUAUUCUACCGCUUUACGGCCUCUCUGUAGAGUGUUUAUUUGUGGUGCGGUCUCUGAAUAUAUUGGUACUGGGAAUAGAGCAUCACCAAAUAUGAUGGACGUUGUGUAUAAGAGAAUCACCAUCAGAUGAUUUUUGGCUACUGAUUUUUUGAAUGUUUUUGCUGAAUUUUCUGCUAAAACAUUGGAUUAUCUUUGCAAUGGCCAGUUAGAGGUGAUUGAAGACAAGUCAUUGGGUGUAGAGAACAUCUCUUCUACUGGUUUGAUGUUUUAAGGGGAAGUAGGAAGUUCCCAUAGUGGGAUGUUUGACGAUGUUCUCACGUUUUCAGCUUUGUUUCAAGUGUAAAGCACUACAUAAUGAUAUUUGGUUAGAGAAAUAACUCUUGUCCUUACGUGAAACUACUUAUUAACAGUUGGCAAAAGCAUACACGAAUAGCCUUUAUCCUUCACUUCUUCCUAUCUCAUUUUUGCAUCAAAGCAAAUACUUUCCUUUUCUAACCAUUUAUUUACAAUUUUAGUGGAAUACCAAAUUAAAUAUUUAUCACUGAAGACUUAGAUUGUGGCCAUAUUCAGACUAGGUAAAAUAAUUUAAAUUAGUAAGAUUGUUGACAUAGAAUUCAGAAACUUCUUCCUUGUGAGUUGAAUAUUUAUAAUUUAAUUAAGUUAUUAUUUAUAAUUUUUUAGACAUAUCUCUAAAAUAUUAUCUUAAAAUUUAAGAUUUUAACAAUAGUUAUUAAAAAAUUGUUAGCAGAGAUGAAUGCUAAGCAGCAGACUAAAAAGUAGUGGUUAGAGUUAAAAGAUUAUUGUUUCAUUAGAAAAACACAUAUUAUGCAUGAUAUAAUUAAAUUUAUCAUUCAUAUUUACAAAUACAUAUAAAUAAAUUAUAUACCAAUUAAUAUUAAUGGACUCGUGCAGACUUUGAUUAACAAGACAAACAAACACUACUUAGCACUUGGGGCGGUUAGAGUUAACACAAAAGCGAUUGUAAUUUCUGGUCUUGAUUCCAUUGAUUUGUUAAAAUGUUAAAAUUUUACGGGUCACUAUUAACAUAAUACAUAUUUUUUAAAUGUUAAAAUUCUUUUUUAUUCUCUUUCCGUCUGUCAAUUUUUUUCUUUGUUUAAUUAUUUAAUAAUUAAGUAAUUCAUUUCAAAUUUAUUUGUAUUUAAAUAAUUUUAUACCAUAUCAAUUGCACGAUAGUAUAAUGUAUUUUUUAAUUUUAAUAAUAUUAAAAAUGUAUUUAUUGCACGGGUCACUAAC
Vicia villosa (hairy vetch) is the source of this 3165-nucleotide long non-coding RNA. RefSeq lists it as uncharacterized. The record is from RefSeq and is a predicted model, not a curated record. NCBI's taxonomy places the organism in Eukaryota, Viridiplantae, Streptophyta, Magnoliopsida, Fabales, Fabaceae. The transcript has 4 exons.